GGAAAACCGGGAGACUUGCCCAGGUGGGAGAGUUGAACCACCUUUCAAAAUUGUAUUUGAAUUAAGCGCGAACGAAACGUCAAAGCGUUCAUUGGUCGCACUCAAGAGGCUAAUCAUAAGUAUGCAACUAUUUUGCAUCUUAGUGGUGUGGUUCGUCAGUGACAAUGUAAAACGUGUUUUUGUUGCUGCGGAGUGUAUUUUCUUGUUUUAAGUAAUUUUGUGAUUGCUGUCAUAUUUAUUGAGUGCCAACUUGUACGAUGCCUUUUCAAUACAAGCCUUCUGAAAAUGCUCGCAAACGAAAAAAACUCACAAAAAUGGAAUUGCAAAAUGCCAUAGAUGAAAUUAAGGGAGGCGCUUCUAUUCGACGAACUUCAAAUAAAUAUGGCAUAGAUAGAACUACUUUGAGGCGAUAUAAAUUAGAUGAAGAUAAAAAUAAUAAAUUUCAAGAAAAAACAGACAAUAUAAAGCAUCACAGAUGUUUACAACGGCCGAGGAAAAGCUUCUUGUCAAUUAUUUGUUGACAUGCAGUAAAAUGCAUUAUGGUUUGACAAGAAAACAAGCAAUCCUGUUGGCUGAUUAGAAGAUAGUUAAUUGUUUUAAUAAAAGUUAAUAUUCUGACUGAUUUAUUACAAAGAUUAUAAUUAUAUUAUCAGUA
RNAcentral lists this long non-coding RNA (655 nucleotides) under Helicoverpa zea (corn earworm). Its description in RNAcentral is "uncharacterized LOC124637997". The record is from RNAcentral. Lineage: Eukaryota; Metazoa; Arthropoda; Insecta; Lepidoptera; Noctuidae.